Long non-coding RNA from Solea solea (common sole), 538 nucleotides. RefSeq lists it as uncharacterized. Lineage: Eukaryota; Metazoa; Chordata; Actinopteri; Pleuronectiformes; Soleidae. The transcript is spliced from 4 exons. The record is from RefSeq and is a predicted model, not a curated record.
UCAAGUGUAUGCCCUCUUACCUGAGAUGCUAAUUAAGAAAAGACCCUGUUAGUGAGCGAACGGAAUUAACAUCGUUAAGAAAUACAACUUAGAGGUCGAAAACCCAUGUAUUUGUUUGUUAGGAACGAGGCUUGUGUUGUAUGUUGGAUGAGAGGAGCCGUUUCACCGUGUGAGGCCUCUGAAAGAACUCCGAUUGAUUCAGAUUCUGAACCUGUGGAGGUUCAGUGGCGAGCCAGGAAGGUCGAUUGAUUGGACGGAACAGUACGGCCAGCUGUGGGAUCCACUCCGGAGAACCCCAGCCCAUCGUCUCAUUCCGCUUAGUGACACAGAUAAGGAAAUAAUACACAAACAUCUGCCCAGACGAUGGCAGUGAUCCAUCCUGACAGCCAGAGGCUGAGCGACAGAUUCUGCACAAGAGGGAACCCCAAGGGCUUGCUAAUGAGCGGACUUGAAUCAGGUGUGUCCCCAGGACCAGGAUUGAGAGACCCCGGUCUACACUACACCACCAUCUGUUUGCUGGUCUUCUGCUACCGCCUCC